RNAcentral lists this ribosomal RNA (253 nucleotides) under uncultured bacterium. RNAcentral describes it as "partial 16S ribosomal RNA". It matches the Rfam family "Bacterial small subunit ribosomal RNA", at positions 524 to 776 of the family's 1533-position model. The record is from RNAcentral.
UACGAAGGGGGCUAGCGUUGCUCGGAAUCACUGGGCGUAAAGGGUGCGUAGGCGGGUCUUUAAGUCAGGGGGGAAAUCCUGGAGCUCAACUCCAGAACUGCCUUUGAUACUGAAGAUCUUGAGUUCGGGAGAGGUGAGUGGAACUGCGAGUGUAGAGGUGAAAUUCGUAGAUAUUCGCAAGAACACCAGUAGCGAAGGCGGCUCACUGGCCCGAUACUGACGCUGAGGCACGAAAGCGUGGGGAGCAAACAGG